AACAGGAUUAGAUACCCUGGUAGUCCACGCCGUAAACGAUGAUUACUAGCUGUCCGGCAACUUGGUUUUUGGGUGGCGCACCUAACGCAUUAAUUUAUCCGCCGGGGGAGUACGGCCGCAAGGUUAAAACUCAAAUGAAUUGACGGGGGCCUGCACCAAGCGGGGGAGCAUGUGGUUUAAUUCGAAGCAACGCGCAAAACCUUACCAGCGUUUGACAUGUCCGGACGAUUUCCAAAGAUGGAUUCCUUCCCUUCGGGGACUGGAACACAGGUGCUGCAUGGCUGUCGUCAGCUCGUGUCGUGAGAUGUUGGGUUAAGUCCCGCAAAGAGCGCAACCCUCGCCUUUAGUUACCCUCCUUCAAUUGGGUCCUUUAAAGGAACCCCCGGGUGAUAAACCGGAGGAAGGUGUGGGAGGAGGUCAAAUCUUCAUGGCCCCUACGCGGUGGGGUACACACGUGUUACAAAGGCAGGGACACUGGGGAGCAAUACCGCGAGGGGGAGAUAAUAUCCAAAACCUGUGUCAGUUUUGAGUGCACUCUGCAAAUCGAGUGCACGAAGGGGGAAUAUCUAGUAAUCUCGGAUCAGCACGCCGCGGUGAAUACGUUCCCAGGCCCUGUACACACCGCCCGUCACACCACGGGAGUUGGAUUCACCCGAAGGCGUUGCGCGCCAUCGCCAGAGAGGCAGGCGACCACGGUGGGGUCAGCGCACUGGGGGUAGAAUGUCGUAACAAGGUAACC
RNAcentral lists this ribosomal RNA (739 nucleotides) under uncultured Sphingomonas sp. RNAcentral's name for it is "bacterial SSU rRNA". It matches the Rfam family "Bacterial small subunit ribosomal RNA", at positions 771 to 1501 of the family's 1533-position model. The record is from RNAcentral. Lineage: Bacteria; Pseudomonadati; Pseudomonadota; Alphaproteobacteria; Sphingomonadales; Sphingomonadaceae.